GAUCAUGGCUCAGGAUGAACGCUAGCUACAGGCUUAACACAUGCAAGUCGCGGGGCGAGCAGGUACAGAAGCUUGCUUCAGUACGCUGGCGACCGGCGCACGGGUGAGUAACGCGUAUCCAACCUGGCCCAUACCACGGGACAGCCCGUCGAAAGGCGGAUUAAUACCGUAUGCAGUCAUUAGGGAGCAUUUUUUGAUGACGAAAAGGAUUUGGCGGUAUGGGAUGGGGAUGCGU
Molecule: ribosomal RNA, 235 nt
Filed under: uncultured bacterium
Lineage: Bacteria
Description: partial 16S ribosomal RNA
Rfam family: Bacterial small subunit ribosomal RNA
Source: RNAcentral